UGGGGAAUCUUGCACAAUGGGGGCAACCCUGAUGCAGCGACGCCGCGUGAGCGAUGAAGCCCUUCGGGGCGUAAAGCUCUUUCGACCGGAACGAUAAUGACGGUACCGGGAGAAGAAGCUGCGGCUAACUACGUGCCAGCAGCCGCGGUAAUACGUAGGCAGCAAGCGUUGUUCGGAGUUACUGGGCGUAAAGAGUGCGUAGGCGGUUUUCUAAGUUCGGUGUGAAAUCUCCCGGCUUAACUGGGAGGGUGCGCCGAAGACUGGGAAGCUGGAGUGUGGGAAAGGCAACCGGGAUUCUUGGUGUAGCGGUGAAAUGCGUAGAUAUCAAGAGGAACACCUGAGGCGAAGGCGGGUUGCUGGGCCGACACUGACGCUGAUGCGCGAAAGCCAGGGGAGCAAACG
This 402-nucleotide ribosomal RNA is filed under the name uncultured bacterium. RNAcentral describes it as "bacterial SSU rRNA". It matches the Rfam family "Bacterial small subunit ribosomal RNA", at positions 355 to 774 of the family's 1533-position model. The record is from RNAcentral.